GUGUCAGCCGCCGCGGUAAUACGGGGGGAGCAAGCGUUGUUCGGAUUUACUGGGCGUAAAGGGCGCGUAGGCGGUCGUGACAAGUCACUUGUGAAAUCUCCGGGCUUAACUCGGAACGGUCAAGUGAUACUGUCGGACUAGAGUACAGAAGGGGCAACUGGAAUUCUCGGUGUAGCGGUGAAAUGCGUAGAUAUCGAGAGGAACACCUGCGGCGAAGGCGGGUUGCUGGGCUGAUACUGACGCUGAGGCGCGAAAGCCAGGGGAGCGAACGGGAUUAGAUACCCCGGUAGUCCUGGCCUUAAACGAUGAAUGCUUGGUGUCUCGGGUUAUAAAGUCCCGGGGUGCCGUCGCUAACGCUUUUAGCAUUCCGCCUGGGGAGUACGGUCGCAAGACUGAA
This 397-nucleotide ribosomal RNA is filed under the name uncultured bacterium. RNAcentral describes it as "bacterial SSU rRNA". It matches the Rfam family "Bacterial small subunit ribosomal RNA", at positions 505 to 898 of the family's 1533-position model. The record is from RNAcentral.